GACGAACGCUGGCGGCGUGCUUAACACAUGCAAGUCGAACGGAAAGGCCCUGCUUUUGUGGGGUGCUCGAGUGGCGAAAGGGUGAGUAACACGUGAGUAACCUGCCCUUGACUUUGGGAUAACUUCAGGAAACUGGGGCUAAUACCGGAUAGGAGCUCCUGCUGCAUGGUGGGGGGUGGAAAGUUUCGGCGGCUGGGGAUGGACUCGCGGCUUAUCCGCUUGUGGGGGGGGUAGUGGCUUACCAAGGCUUUGACGGGUAGCCGGCCUGAGAGGGUGACCGGCCACAUUGGGACUGAGAUACGGCCCAGACUCCUACGGGAGGCAGCGGUGGGGAAUAUUGCACAAUGGGCGGAAGCCUGAUGCAGCAACGCCGCGUGCGGGAUGACGGCCUUCGGGUUGUAAACCGCUUUCGCCUGUGACGAAGCGUGGGUGACGGUAAUGGGUAAAGAAGCACCGGCUAACUACGUG
RNAcentral lists this ribosomal RNA (468 nucleotides) under uncultured bacterium. Its description in RNAcentral is "partial 16S ribosomal RNA". It matches the Rfam family "Bacterial small subunit ribosomal RNA", at positions 28 to 507 of the family's 1533-position model. The record is from RNAcentral.